Molecule: ribosomal RNA, 632 nt
Filed under: uncultured bacterium
Lineage: Bacteria
Description: bacterial SSU rRNA
Rfam family: Bacterial small subunit ribosomal RNA (bases 1-545)
Source: RNAcentral
CCUACGGGAGGCAGCAGUGGGGAAUUUUGGACAAUGGGGGCAACCCUGAUCCAGCCAUUCCGCGUGAGUGAAGAAGGCCUUCGGGUUGUAGAGCUCUUUCGCAAGGGAGGAAAACUUAUGAUCGAAUAAAUCAUGAGGUUUGACGGUACCUUGAUAAGAAGCACCGGCUAACUACGUGCCAGCAGCCGCGGUAAUACGUAGGGUGCGAGCGUUAAUCGGAAUUACUGGGCGUAAAGCGUGCGCAGGCGGUUUUGUAAGUCGGAUGUGAAAUCCCCGGGCUCAACCUGGGAACUGCGUUCGAAACUGCAAGGCUAGAGUGUGUCAGAGGGGGGUAGAAUUCCACGUGUAGCAGUGAAAUGCGUAGAGAUGUGGAGGAAUACCAAUGGCGAAGGCAGCCCCCUGGGAUAACACUGACGCUCAUGCACGAAAGCGUGGGGAGCAAACAGGAUUAGAUACCCUGGUAGUCCACGCCCUAAACGAUGUCAACUAGUUGUUGGUAGAGUAAAAUCUAUGAGUAACGUAGCUAACGCGUGAAGUUGACCGCCUGGGGGAGGUACGGUCGCGAGAAGUUAAACUAACGAAAGAAGUAGACGGCGUGAGACGUGACCGACGGACGACGACGAGGGAGGAGG